Scatophagus argus is the source of this 2040-nucleotide RNA transcript. It is a transcript of the gene named transmembrane 6 superfamily member 1-like, with no coding region annotated. The transcript is spliced from 11 exons. NCBI's taxonomy places the organism in Eukaryota, Metazoa, Chordata, Actinopteri, Scatophagidae. The record is from RefSeq and is a predicted model, not a curated record.
UAAUUUCCAAGGAAAAAAGUACCAUUUUCUUUAUGAUCGUAUAAACAGAAUCGUAUCUUUGAGAGAAAAUGAAAACGUUUUAAACGAUGGUAGUUUUAUUGGAUUUUUGUUAAGCGUGUGUGUAUAUGUUGCAUUUGCGUUUUAGAAAAAGAAUACAUCACAUCAGUAUCAUUUUUGAACUUUACAAAUGAGUAGCAAAUCACACUGGAUAAAAUUUAGGAAUCACCUUAAAAGAACCUCCUUUGACCUCAGUAGAUAAGAAAUGUAAAUAAAUAAAUAACCACAGAGUAAACACAGACGUAAGCAUAUUUAGCCUAUACUUGUAUAACUGUUCAUGCUGUAUACAUUUCUAAACAUAAACACGUGUAUGUAUUUAUUUAUAUAUUUUGUGUUUAUAUCGCAUGUAUUGCCCAGUAUAAUGCACAUUAUUAAGUUUGUUGGUUAAUCUUGAAGAAUGCGUUAUAGCAAGUUUCCAAAUUGACCACUAGGUGUCAGUGUGUGCGUGAGUGUGUGUGUGUGUGUGUGUGUGUGUGUGUGAGUGUGUGUGUGUGUGUGUGUGAGAGAGAGAGAGAGAAAGUAGGUGGUAAACAGAGAAGCAGUGAGGUGUGUUGGAAAGAGGAAGAAAGGGAGUGCAGGCAAGAAAGACCAGCAGAGCAAGACAGAACAUGAGGGAGAUGAGCUUACGAGUUUGUGGCUUGUUUACAUUUUUUCUGACUCACCCUGAACUUUUCUCCUUUCCCUCCACUCUUUGAAAUAUGACUUGCAGGCUAAACAUAAGAGUUUUCUGUGGCUGAAUUAUUUUAAAUUCUCAAUUCUCGCGCAAGAAUCUGCUCCGCGAUGACCGCGUCUGCAGGGACGGCGGUGUUUGUGCUCUCCUUGAUGUCCAUCCCCAUCUGCUAUUUAUUUAAUUCCCUUAUUUACAGCAACAGUGCUGAAGCUUUCUACUUCGCUGGGUGCACAACAGUCCUCAUCCUGGCCAUUUCAGCCCGUUUUAUGCUCAAGAAGAAGACUCCAGUAGAUCCUCUUUUUUACGUGUAUGCAGUGUAUGCAUUCCUCAGUGUGGUGAAUCUGAUCAUCGGCCUGGAGCAGGACAACAUCAUUGAUGGAUUUGUGACGUUUUACCUCAAAGUGGCAGAUCCACACAUUAAUACAGCACACGGGCACAUGAUCUCCUACUGGGAUGGCUGCUCGCACUAUCUUAUGUAUCUGCUCAUGAUUGCUGCGAUUACUUGGGGGGACAGUUACCGAGCCAUUGGACUCUACUGGGUGGGAUCUUUUCUCAUGCGUGCCAUAGUCUACAUUCUUGGGAAUGCUGUGGGGAAAUAUGGGACCCACGUUGGUCCUCUCUUCCUCCUCUACUUGCUAUAUAUCUCUGUGUCUGUCUGGGCCUGCUUCCGCAUCUUCAGCCAGCCCUCCUCACGGGCUGUUCAGUUGACAAGCACCGAGGAGGCUGAGAGAAAAAGUUUACUCCACAGACCUCUGGACUUACUGUUCAUUAUCUACCUCAUCCCUGCUUUUGCUUUCUGUGUCUUCAGAGGGUUGAUUGUUCUGGACUGUUCCGGCAAAUGGGUUCAAGACUACACACAACAGUAUGAGCCGUACCUGAGAGACCCUUCAGCAUAUCCUAAAGUACAGAUGCUGGUGAGCAUGCUUUAUUCUGGACCAUACUACAUCAUCACUCUCUAUGGGCUGCUGGUCCCAGGAUGUGAGUGGAUGCCAGACCUGACUCUUGUGCACUCAGGAGCACUGGCACAGAUGGAAACUAUGAAGAACGGUGGGAGCAGCUAGUGCACCAAUCACCUCCCAACAAUACAAAGCAGCUAUUGUGUCUGAGCUGCAGGCUGGCACGUCGCUCAGCCGUGGGAUAAGGGCAGAAGCUGACUUCAGACCAAAAGGAAUGGAGGCCCAGUUCUCUCAUAUCGGUGCGUCUCUUCACACACGGACUCCGUUCUCCUACAGAGUGCCUGCGGACAGCCAGCCUCUCUUCUUGCUGGUCAAUGUCCUGUAUGCCGUGGUGCCCCAGGCUCUGUGCUACCGCUG